Molecule: long non-coding RNA, 947 nt
Organism: Passer domesticus (house sparrow)
Lineage: Eukaryota; Metazoa; Chordata; Aves; Passeriformes; Passeridae
Exons: 3
Source: RefSeq, a predicted model, not a curated record
CCAUGGCAGGGACACCUCCCACUGUCCCAGGCUGCUCCAAGCCCUGCCCAGCCUGGCCUUGGGCACUGCCAGGGAUCCAGGGGCAGCCACAGCUGCUCUGGGCACCCUGUGCCAGGGCCUGCCCACCCUCACAGGGAACAAUUCCUAAUUCCCAAUAUUCCAUCCAGCCCUGCCCUCUGGCAGUGGGAGCCAUUCCCUGUGUCCUGUCCCUCCAUGCCUUGUCCCCAGUCCCUCUGCAGCUCUCCUGGAGCCCCUUUAGGCCCUGGCAGGGGCUCUGAGGUGUCCCUGGAGCCUUCUCCUCUGCAGGUGAGCACCCCAGCUCUGCCAGCCUGGCUCCAGAGCAGAGGGGCUCCAGCCCUUGGGGCAUCUCCAGGGCUCCUCUGGACUCUCUGCAGCAGCUCCAUCCAUCACUGAUGGGAAAGGAUCUGCUCCUGCUGCAGAUCAAAUCAUUCCUGAACAAAGCUUGCCAGGAAAACUCCAGAUGGACUUAGAGCCCCCGCCAGCUUUUUCCGUCUGGAGGAAGGGACAGAUUGGAGGUGAAUCACUCACUGCCCUGUCCUAAGCAGAUGAAGGUCAAGAUAAUGGGAUCUCAGUGUUUCUGAGAAAUGCUCCUUAAUCAGCACUUCCCUUUGAUGGCUAUUCUUUAAUUCGAGGUUCAGGUUUGAGGAGCUGCCAGGUAACCCCUUUGAACUUCUGCUGAGGUUCACAUGUGGGUUUCCACCUAAAGCCACAGAGCAACAGACCCGCGGCCAAACGCUGACCUGGCACCAGGCAGUGAUGCUGCUCCAAAGGAACUCUGGAAUAAUGCCUCAUCUUACCUGAGAAAUUGCUGGGAUAACCCUGCAUCCCACCUGGGAAACUGCUGGGAUAACCCUGCAUCCACCUGAGAAACUGCUGGGGUAACACCUCAUCCCACCUGGGAAACUGCUGGGGUAACACCUCAUCCC